UUUUAAGUCCAAUCUGCCCAAUGAAUAAAUUUAAAUGGCUGCAGUAUAAAUAACUGUACAAAGGUAGCAUAAUAAUUUGUUUUUUAAUUAAAAACUAGAAUGAAAGAUUUAAUGAAAUAUAUACUUUAUUAAAAAUAAAAAUUUAAAUUUUUAUUUAAGUAAAAAAACUUAAAUAAAAUUAAUAGACGAUAAGACCCUAUAAAAUUUAAUUAUUAAAAUUAAUUAAUUAAUUAUUAUUAUUUAUAUAAUAAAUUUUAAUAAUUUAAUUGGGGUAAUAAAAAAAUUAAAUAAACUUUUUUAAAAAUUAACAUUAAUUUAUGAAUUAAUAAUCUUUUAAUAAAAAAAAUAAAAUUAAUUACUUUAGGGAUAACAGCAUAA
RNAcentral lists this ribosomal RNA (378 nucleotides) under Mononeuron duguetiae. RNAcentral's name for it is "partial 16S ribosomal RNA". The record is from RNAcentral. Lineage: Eukaryota; Metazoa; Arthropoda; Insecta; Hymenoptera; Braconidae.